This 496-nucleotide ribosomal RNA is filed under the name uncultured bacterium. Its description in RNAcentral is "partial 16S ribosomal RNA". It matches the Rfam family "Bacterial small subunit ribosomal RNA", at positions 33 to 507 of the family's 1533-position model. The record is from RNAcentral.
AUACACGCUGGCGGCGUGCCUAAUACAUGCCAGUCGAGCGAACAGACGAGGAGCUUGCUCCUCUGACGUUAGCGGCGGACGGGUGAGUAACACGUGGAUAACCUACCUAUAAGACUGGGAUAACUUCGGGAAACCGGAGCUAAUACCGGAUAAUAUAUUGAACCGCAUGGUUCAAUAGUGAAAGACGGUUUUGCUGUCACUUAUAGAUGGAUCCGCGCCGCAUUAGCUAGUUGGUAAGGUAACGGCUUACCAAGGCAACGAUGCGUAGCCGACCUGAGAGGGUGAUCGGCCACACUGGAACUGAGACACGGUCCAGACUCCUACGGGAGGCAGCAGUAGGGAAUCUUCCGCAAUGGGCGAAAGCCUGACGGAGCAACGCCGCGUGAGUGAUGAAGGUCUUCGGAUCGUAAAACUCUGUUAUUAGGGAAGAACAAAUGUGUAAGUAACUAUGCACGUCUUGACGGUACCUAAUCAGAAAGCCACGGCUAACUACGUG